CCCUAUGGGGUGCCGCAGGCCCAUGGCUCCGCAGCUCCAGAUGACACCCAGGAAGACCACCGGUAUGGGCAAAAGAGACCAUUUGACGUGAUUGAACGUGAUCAGCAGGGCCACAAUCAUGAGCAGGCCGGCCAGCAGGAGAAUGGGGCCGUUGCUUGAAGCCAUCUCUUCAGUUAUUGAUUGCAUGAGCGCCGGCUUGCCGGUGACAGUGACCACCACGUCUGGGGGAAAAUCGGCCAUCUUCACCUGGCCGGACGUCUCCGCAUAGAUCUCCCGAAGCUCUGCUUCCUUCAGGGUGACCGGCAGGUCGAUGGAGAGCAUGGUGUGGCUCCUGUCCGGCAUCAUGGCUUUCAGGAUCGGCUGAUUGGCGGGAGGGC
This 377-nucleotide ribosomal RNA is filed under the name uncultured prokaryote. RNAcentral's name for it is "partial 16S ribosomal RNA". The record is from RNAcentral.